This is a long non-coding RNA of Capsicum annuum, 969 nucleotides long. RefSeq lists it as uncharacterized. The transcript is spliced from 2 exons. The record is from RefSeq and is a predicted model, not a curated record. NCBI's taxonomy places the organism in Eukaryota, Viridiplantae, Streptophyta, Magnoliopsida, Solanales, Solanaceae.
UAAAUGAAAAUAAAGAAAAAGUUAGAUGAGGAUCCAACAAUAGUGAAAAAGUUAUAUACGCACAAAUAUGGUGACAAAAAUAGUGUAAAAGUUGAGGGUUAGAAAAUUAAGCAUUCAUCAAUCUAGACAUGCAACCAAAUCAAGUUAGAUGCGCAUCAAUCAUAUUUUUUCAAUAAGUAAAUCAAUUUUUUCUCUAGUUUAAUGUGAAUCUCAAUAUUAAUAGAAGCAUUUUCUUAAUAGAGUUUUAUUUGAGUAAAUUCCCUAAAUAGUCACCCAUGUUAGGGAAUUUGCCUUAUAAUAUCAUUUUUGUUUCUUUUAGGACCAUAAUAUCACCCAACUAUUUCUAUUUUCCUCAAAAUAUACUUGACAUAAUAUCAACAUCAUUCUUUCUUCUAAUAGGAUGCCAUGUCACAUAUGCCAUGUCACAUUUUUCUUUUUAAAUAAUAAAUUUUUUAACUUUUUAAACCACCGAUCUUUUACCAGAGAGAAGAUUACAAAAAGGCAUAUUUUUCUGUCCGAAAAAGUUUUCUAGGGUUCUGAGGCAACUUCUAACAUGGAAUCCUCUAGUUUUUUGAGGAAAUUGUGGGUUCUUCAACGAAUAAAUUAAUAAAUUUGCAGAAUAGAUUGUAUCCCUAGCCUCUGUAUACCUUUGAUGUCGACCAAGAGAUCGUCACGAGGGAGGUGUGCAUGUUGAAUCUAUUGAUUGACCUUCUUUUACAGCAAAGAAAGGAAGCCACUUUGAAAGAGAAGUCAUGACGAAUUAUGUAGUUUUGUUGAAGAAGAAGAAGAAGAGAAACUUUAGUAAAAUAUAGGGAUUAUGCAUUAGUUUCUUUUGUUAGUUAUGUGAAGCACUUAUUUAGACACGUCUCCGUGGUCAUAUUAUGGCGUGGUACAGUGUGAUGUUGCCACUUGCCUAUAAAACAUUAUUUAACUGUAAAUUAUAGCAAGUUGUGACACUUUUUUGAAGUA